Non-coding RNA from Callithrix jacchus (white-tufted-ear marmoset), 609 nucleotides. The record is from RefSeq and is a predicted model, not a curated record. Lineage: Eukaryota; Metazoa; Chordata; Mammalia; Primates; Cebidae.
UCAGUCUGUCGCCUACUGUCACGGUGUUAGCCUCCCUCUCAGUCUAAGCGCGUUCUCUCGCUCAUCACCCCCAUUCUUUUCUGGGUCUGCUUCUCUCCCUUCGUCCAAGCCGCUCCUUAGCGCCCAGUUGCGCAAAUCCAACUUUUUCCCCGUUCUAUUCACUCCUGAUCAAGAGGGGCUGUCAGUCCAACCCUCCAGCCGUAGGCUCGUGCAUCUCUGCCAGUUUCUUGGUGCGUGGGGACCGCGUGGAAGUGCCUUCGCGUGUGCGUGCCAGCUGAGAUGAGACAUGGAAGCUGGAGGGAUCUGGCAUCCCAGGGAGGCGUGAGGCUCCCAGAGCACCACCUGUUCAGGCCCACACUAACAACAUCAGCCAAGGCCUCUACAGCAGCCCCUGAGCUGCCUUUUGAUGAUUUGGACAAGGCCUCUGUACUAUGAUGGAACCAGGUGACCCGCGGCCUCUGGGCUGGGACAGAAGACAGAUUUUUCUCAUGCAGAAAGAUGUCUAACUUCUGUGGCAAGCAGCUCUAUCUCCCCAUGAAAUCACCUCAUAAGAAGAGUUAAAAGGAGGAACUAAGGGGGGCUGUGGAGAGAGAUGUGUGUCCUAUAACA